GAAGAACCACCAGAUGGAAUUGUUCUCCACCUUCCUUUUCCAGCUGGAUGAUGACACGUGGCUGUAUGAACAGUUUGCUUUUGAAACGAACACAGGACAGAUUUAAUAAGAACAAAGCUUACAACAUUUCAAAGACGUCAUUUUCAACAUUUUAGGCGCCUUUUAUUCAGCCCUUGGAGAUACAGGAGCAUGGGAAACAAACCCAACCAACACGACCUGACAUCCUAGAAGCCAGACACAGCCAAGUCCUCUUCAAUCCGGAGACAGCCGACUGAGUGGUUGAACAUCUGUGCCCUGGUGCCAGGCUGACGGGGCUUUCAACCCCGUCAUGCCAAGCUGCUGAGCUGCUCCCCUGCCUCGACUUUUUCAUUUGGAAGGAGUCAUAAAGAACGGAAGACAACGCCACACUGGCUGAGGGCAGGAGGCAUCUGCUUUUCUCUUCCUGGGAUCCCACACUCAAGAAACGCCGAUCAGAACAACAACGCCAACCAACCAGAGCUCCCAGGGACUAAACCACUGCCGAAAGACUGUUCAUGGACUGACCCAGGGCUCCAGCUGCAUAUGUAGCAGAGAAUAACCUUGUUGGGGCACCAGUGGAAGGGAAAGCCCUUGGUCCUGCCAAGGUUGGACCCCUAGUGUAGGGGGAUAUGGGGGGCAAUAAGGGGGAUGUAUAAGGGGAUACCCGUAUAGGGGAGGGGGAGGGGAGGGAAUAGGGGCUUAUGGACAGGAAACAGGGAAGGGGAAUAACCUUUGAAAUGUUUGCCCUUUACUUUCUCCCAUAUAGAAAUAUUGUAACCCAUGUGAAGCACACUGAAAGGUAGGUAGGUGUGUGCGCGUGCGUGUGUAAACCUGACUUAAUAAACAAACUAUGACUCA
Molecule: non-coding RNA, 876 nt
Organism: Rattus norvegicus (Norway rat)
Lineage: Eukaryota; Metazoa; Chordata; Mammalia; Rodentia; Muridae
Source: RefSeq, a predicted model, not a curated record